Raphanus sativus (radish) is the source of this 949-nucleotide long non-coding RNA. RefSeq lists it as uncharacterized. The transcript is spliced from 3 exons. NCBI's taxonomy places the organism in Eukaryota, Viridiplantae, Streptophyta, Magnoliopsida, Brassicales, Brassicaceae. The record is from RefSeq and is a predicted model, not a curated record.
AAGCUCAAACAUAUAUCAGAUAGAUAUUAAGUGGUCCAUAGAUAAUUUAGGGUGUUACUUGUGAGUCUAUGAUGAACCGACGACCCACCUUAUUAUAUCACAUUUCCUUCUUUUGUAGUCUUUCCAAGGUUUAACCCAUAUGAAUCCGUAAUUUCGUAUUUUGUCAAAAUAAAGCGUAUAGAUCCGUUAUCCAUAUAUGUGUGUAUCAGCUUCUAUAUGAUAAAUAUGGUAUUAAUAUGCAUCAAAAGAUUAACAUGAAUUUGGUGGCCCAAGUUUAAUACAAAAUAAACACUUUUCUUUUUAAUCUUCUGGAAGGGAUUCUGGCGUUUUGGAUGCCUGGUUCGGUGAGAAUGUUUAUAAUGUUUAGCUAACAAAGUUGAGAAUUCUGAAUUUCAGGUGCUUGUGAUUCAAAACCCCUGUGAUCUUAUCAAAGAAAGCGACCGUUUGGACAUGACCAGCCAAGAACGUAUAAACGAGAAGACACAAUCAGUAAAGCCAAAAAGGUUGAGUUCCCAGCUAAACAUGCCAUUUCCAGCGAAGGAAAGGAUCUGAUUCGACGGUGUCUAACAUAUAACAAAGCAGAUAUGCAUUAUGUUCUAACACUAGCACAAGAUUCACAUCUUUCCUGAACUAAGUAAUGAGAGUGUGUAGUCUUCACUAACAAACCAGAUCUGUUAAAGGACAAGGUCUUAGACAAUUUCAUUAUCUUCAUCAUGUUUGUUAUACUCAUCAGACAAUAUUUUGUCAGUUGGAACAUCAGCUUGGCCACUUUGAUGCUGGUUGAUUGCUUUACCCUCCUUAUUUUCAUUUUUCAGAAUAUAAUUUUCCCUGCGAUUGUUCAACAUAUUAUCUUCAGAAUGUUCUGUGUCUUUGUUACCAGACUGUGAAUCUUUUGAGAAUCAGAGCCCUCUCUGUCCCAUUGGCUGACGGUUCUUUCUAAAUGUGAACC